This 347-nucleotide ribosomal RNA is filed under the name Vibrio parahaemolyticus. RNAcentral's name for it is "bacterial SSU rRNA". It matches the Rfam family "Bacterial small subunit ribosomal RNA", at positions 78 to 431 of the family's 1533-position model. Lineage: Bacteria; Pseudomonadati; Pseudomonadota; Gammaproteobacteria; Vibrionales; Vibrionaceae. The record is from RNAcentral.
GAUAACGGCGUCGAGCGGCGGACGGGUGAGUAAUGCCUAGGAAAUUGCCCUGAUGUGGGGGAUAACCAUUGGAAACGAUGGCUAAUACCGCAUGAUGCCUACGGGCCAAAGAGGGGGACCUUCGGGCCUCUCGCGUCAGGAUAUGCCUAGGUGGGAUUAGCUAGUUGGUGAGGUAAGGGCUCACCAAGGCGACGAUCCCUAGCUGGUCUGAGAGGAUGAUCAGCCACACUGGAACUGAGACACGGUCCAGACUCCUACGGGAGGCAGCAGUGGGGAAUAUUGCACAAUGGGCGCAAGCCUGAUGCAGCCAUGCCGCGUGUGUGAAGAAGGCCUUCGGGUUGUAAAGC